This 430-nucleotide ribosomal RNA is filed under the name uncultured bacterium. RNAcentral's name for it is "bacterial SSU rRNA". It matches the Rfam family "Bacterial small subunit ribosomal RNA", at positions 958 to 1392 of the family's 1533-position model. The record is from RNAcentral.
AACGCGAAGAACCUUACCUACCCUUGACAUGUCUGGAAAGCCGAAGAGAUUUGGCCGUGCUCGCAGGAGAACCGGAACACAGGUGCUGCAUGGCUGUCGUCAGCUCGUGUCGUGAGAUGUUGGGUUAAGUCCCGCAACGAGCGCAACCCUUGUCAUUAGUUGCUACGCAAGAGCACUCUAAUGAGACUGCCGGUGACAAACCGGAGGAAGGUGGGGAUGACGUCAAGUCCUCAUGGCCCUUAUGGGUAGGGCUUCACACGUCAUACAAUGGUCGGGACAGAGGGUCGCCAACCCGCGAGGGGGAGCCAAUCUCAGAAACCCGAUCGUAGUCCGGAUCGCAGUCUGCAACUCGACUGCGUGAAGUCGGAAUCGCUAGUAAUCGCGGAUCAGAAUGUCGCGGUGAAUACGUUCCCGGGUCUUGUACACACCG